AUGUUAUUGAUGCUACCACUCACAGACAGGUGGGAGGAGAUCUCUGCUCACAAGGAGGAUCUCAGUGCUCCAGAUAUGAGUGGGAUGAGCCAUGUCUCAUGCUUUCUACAAUGGAUUUUAACUUAAGCUCUAGGACCCAAGAAGCACUGAGAAUUUCCCCUGGAGUCAGGCUGUAUCCCAGCCCUUCUGCAGAACAAGAUUCAGAUCCUCAGACUGAGGAGCUUCCAUACCAAGGUUCACACUCACAACGGAUUACUGCAUGGUUGCAGUUGCAAACGAUUCCUGUGGAAGAAUUGCACCACCUCACCAUUUGCUAAGCAGCCCAGCACAGUGGUAUGAAAGGAGACUGUUACAGGUCUGAGCAAGCUGAGCUGAUGGAGUAUCUCUAUGAACUGGUGAGGGUGUGCCUGGCAGGGUCUGCACGGACAUGAGGUAUGGUGUGCAGGAAGUGCUCUGCCCAUGCAGGCACAGCAGCAGGGAAAGCACUGCAUCUCGAGGAGCCAUUCUGAUGUGUGCUCCCUCAGUAUUAAGAUCUCUCCGGGCUUUCUGUAUCUGGUAAUAUUGCUCUUGUUUUAAAUUCUUCUCAUAAUUUCAAGGGAAAAUUCUUUGUGACAAACGCUGUUGAUUUAAAACUAAUGUUUAGCCAGAAAUGGGUAAUUGUAUUAGACCAAAAAAAAAGCUGCUGUAAAAUCGGCCCCAGUCUGAUUUUUAAUUUACUGCAUCAUCAGCUACUUUUAUGAUACUAUUUAAUCUGCUGAAAUAAAACUAUUGCUCUAUGAAUGUCUCUGACGCUC
Molecule: long non-coding RNA, 794 nt
Filed under: Phasianus colchicus (ring-necked pheasant)
Lineage: Eukaryota; Metazoa; Chordata; Aves; Galliformes; Phasianidae
Description: lncRNA (ENSPCLG00000005602.1)
Source: RNAcentral